AUUAGUCAAUGCUCGAAAGAGUGAACUAGCUAACUGAAAUCAGUCUCUAUGUAACGUUUUGAUAGAAGAUUGAUAACGUAAGGGAAAAAAAAUGAUGGUACCUUACUAUUAGUGUUGUCCAAAUCCUCGUGCCAGAAGACUCGGUAAGGCGAGAAACGCAAACGUUAGUCGUCCUAAUCAGGCGUAAAGGGUGUGUAGGCGGUUUUAUACAAGAAUUCGAAUUUUUAUUUAUUACUAGUAUUAAUUUCGAAUCAUAUAACGACUAGAAUCAAGAAUAGGUUAAACCAUAAUAUGCUUAAAGUAAGUGUAGAAGCUUUAGAUAUUAAGUAGAAUCCUAAUGGCGCAGGCUUUUUUCCAAUAAUGAUUGACGCUGAGAAACGAAGGGGAGGAAAGAAACGAAGAUUAGAGACCUUCUUAUCCCUCUCUGUCAACGAUGAAUGGUAGUUACUAGUUUUUAAUAACUAGAGACGAUGUUAACACGAAAACCAUUCCGCCUUGUGAGUAUGAUUGCAAAGUUGAAAACAAAAAAAUUAGUCGGUUUCGGAGCAAACGAAGUGAAGCAUGUUAUUUAAU
RNAcentral lists this ribosomal RNA (573 nucleotides) under Tubulicrinis subulatus. Its description in RNAcentral is "SSU rRNA". It matches the Rfam family "Bacterial small subunit ribosomal RNA", at positions 363 to 950 of the family's 1533-position model. The record is from RNAcentral. Lineage: Eukaryota; Fungi; Basidiomycota; Agaricomycetes; Hymenochaetales; Tubulicrinaceae.